This is a long non-coding RNA of Ictidomys tridecemlineatus (thirteen-lined ground squirrel), 349 nucleotides long. RefSeq lists it as uncharacterized. Lineage: Eukaryota; Metazoa; Chordata; Mammalia; Rodentia; Sciuridae. The record is from RefSeq and is a predicted model, not a curated record.
UGAACCUCUUUGGGUUCUGAGAGUUGCCUGCCUCAUGAAUCAUUCUUUGCUCAAACUCUUGUUAAGUCUAUUUUAUCUAAAAUAUUUCUUUUUUUAUCACGGGUCUCAUGAUUUCUGUUCUAUGUACUAGCUGUGUGAGCUUGGGAAAGCUGUUCAGCCUCCAUUUCCUCAUCUGGAAAACGGGGAUGGUCAUAAUGGGAGCCAUGUUUGGGGAUUGUGUUCUCAGUGGAAACCUCCAUCUGGAAUAAUCCAGUUCAUCACUGCUGAACUCAAGGAUGACAGUCACUUGGAAGAAAAAUGUUAAAUAAUUUCUGUUGAAUAUAAAUAUGGAGAACUGAAUGUCUCUGCA